Molecule: long non-coding RNA, 944 nt
Organism: Glycine soja
Lineage: Eukaryota; Viridiplantae; Streptophyta; Magnoliopsida; Fabales; Fabaceae
Exons: 2
Source: RefSeq, a predicted model, not a curated record
UAAAGUGUCCAAUUUGUUUUUUCAUAUUUAAAUCUUCUUCAUCUUUCCCAUUCACCUAUUACAGGCCAUUCACUUGAUGUUUGACAUGGAAUUCAGCACCAUGUUCUGCAUUUAUGCUUCUUUUCUCUUCAUAGUUCUUUUCAAGUCAUUGCUCACGUCAUUCUCUUCCAAACACUAGAAAUAGCCACUCCCUCCCGGUUCCAUUGGUUGGUCUUUACAUUAGAGAAACCUUUCAUAUGUGUUCCCAAAUAAAAAGGAAAAUGUUUGGGUUUCGAGAAUACAUUUGAAAGGUUUCUCCUAUGUAAGGUCGACCUAUGGAAUCAGGUGGGAACAGCUACUCCAAGGUUUGUAGGGGAAGGAUUAAAGCAGUUACUUGAACAGAACAAUGAAGAGAAAAGGAGCAAACAAGCAAAACAUGGUGCUUAGUUCCAUUUCAAUAUUUAAUGUUAGUGGCUUGUGAUAGGUGAAUAGGGAAGAGGAUGAAGCAAAAUUGAUGAUCAGUAAAGUAAAGCUAUCAAAAUUUCCCUUGUGUAGCAGCAAAAGGCUCCACUUUCUUAAUGCAGGAAGAUUCAUAAUGUGGAUGAGAGAAAACCUCAUCUACUUAAGGGUAUUAAUCAGCUCAAAUAUCUUACUUUCAUGACAACUUGAUCAUUUAUUACUUGCUUCAAACUUCGGUUAUUCUGUUUCCUACUUUCAUUUAUCAUAAAAGUAAUAGCCCUUUUGUAUAGUUCAUACUUUGUGAAAUUGUGAUACAGCAGCCUUUGCCCUGCAAGAACAGGUGAAUAUACCAUUGUGCAAGCACUGCCAUCUCGCUGAAGAGCUUUUCCACUCAGUAGUGUGAAUCUAAUAGACGUGAUUUCUCGUUCAAGGUCACCCUCAUUAGAAAAAUCUGUUAAAUUGUUGGUAGUAAUAAUCUUAAUGGCAGAUUUAUAUGAUUCAUUUGA